GAUCGGUAGCCGGACUGAGAGGUUGAACGGCCACAUUGGGACUGAGACACGGCCCAGACUCCUACGGGAGGCAGCAGUGGGGAAUAUUGCACAAUGGGGGAAACCCUGAUGCAGCGACGCCGCGUGGAGGAAGAAGGUCUUCGGAUUGUAAACUCCUGUUGUUGAGGAAGAUAAUGACGGUACUCAACAAGGAAGUGACGGCUAACUACGUGCCAGCAGCCGCGGUAAAACGUAGGUCACAAGCGUUGUCCGGAAUUACUGGGUGUAAAGGGAGCGCAGGCGGGCGAUCAAGUUGGAAGUGAAAUCCAUGGGCUCAACCCAUGAAGUGCUUUCAAAACUGAUUGUCUUGAGUAGUGCAGAGGUAGGCGGAAUUCCCGGUGUAGCGGUGGAAUGCGUAGAUAUCGGGAGGAACACCAGUGGCGAAGGCGGCCUACUGGGCACCAACUGACGCUGAGGCUCGAAAGUGUGGGUAGCAAACAGGAUUAGAUUCCCUGGUAGUCCACACCGUAAACGAUGAUUACUAGGUGUUGGAGGAUUGACCCUUUCAGUGCCGCAGUUAACACAAUAAGUAAUCCACCUGGGGAGUACGACCGCAAGGUUGAAACUCAAAGGAAUUGACGGGGGCCCGCACAAGCAGUGGAGUAUGUGGUUUAAUUCGACGCAACGCGAAGAACCUUACCAAGUCUUGACAUCCUGCGACGAUGCUAGAAAUAGUAUUUUCCUUCGGGACGCAGAGACAGGUGGUGCAUGGUUGUCGUCAGCUCGUGUCGUGAGAUGUUGGGUUAAGUCCCGCAACGAGCGCAACCCUUAUGGUCAGUUACUACGCAAGAGGACUCUGGCCAGACUGCCGUUGACAAACGGAGGAAGGUGGGGAUGACGUCAAAUCAUCAUGCCCUUUAUGACUUGGGCUACACACGUACUACAAUGGCGUUAAACAAAGAGAAGCAAGACCGCGAGGUGGAGCAAAACUCAGAAACAACGUCCCAGUUCGGACUGCAGGCUGCAACUCGCCUGCACGAAGUCGGAAUUGCUAGUAAUCGCAGAUCAGCAUGCUGCGGUGAAUACGUUCCCGGGCCUUGUACACACCGCCCGUCACACCAUGAGAGCCGGGGAGACCCGAAGUCGGUAGUCUAACCGCAAGGAGGACGCCGCCGAAGGUAAAACUGGUGAUUGGGGUGAAGUCGUAACAAGGUAGCCGUAGGAGAACCUGCGGCUG
RNAcentral lists this ribosomal RNA (1216 nucleotides) under metagenome. RNAcentral's name for it is "bacterial SSU rRNA". It matches the Rfam family "Bacterial small subunit ribosomal RNA", at positions 278 to 1520 of the family's 1533-position model. The record is from RNAcentral.